This 1908-nucleotide ribosomal RNA is filed under the name Triticum aestivum (bread wheat). RNAcentral's name for it is "partial small subunit ribosomal RNA". The record is from RNAcentral. Lineage: Eukaryota; Viridiplantae; Streptophyta; Magnoliopsida; Poales; Poaceae.
GCCAUCGUAAUUAACACAACAGAAUGGAGAUUUGGAGGGAAAUAAAUCACUCUUGCGCGCCAAAACAUUGGUGGUGAACUUUUCCCGUACACAGUUACUCCAAACAGACCACAUCAUACACCUCCAUCAAAUCUAUCUACAAAUAUAGAUCCAACAGAGGGAUACGAGGAACUUGAUGGCAUCUUCACCAAUUCUUGCCGGGACCAAUGAGGAAUCAGAUCCCCCAAAUGUAAGCUAUGUCUUCCAUUGUGUUCUUCCCUCUCUCUGAUCCAAUGUCUUCUCCCAGUCCUGCAAUUUACGGAUCUAUGGCUUUCAGGUUUUUGUGAUUGUUGUCACUGGUAGGGCAUAACAAAAUAAACCUAUACAACAGAAGCGAAUAUUUCGUACUCCCUGUGCGUAAUAUCCAGUUAACAAUAUGUCUUGCACAGAUUACACAAUACAAAGUUGUAUUACUGAUGGGUACAUAUAAAUGAAAACUGACAGUGAUGCUGGACAUAUAAGAGAAAUGUAAUGGCUCAAGGGGAAAAGACAUAUAAGAGAAAUGUAAUGGCUCAAGGGGCAAAGACAUACCUCUGAUUAGUUGGGAAUGCCUACUCCUUUUCAUUCCACCGUGAAAUCAAAAUAAAUAGACAUAGCAAGGUUAUUUGUUGAUUUACAUCACGGAUAGGUUUCUUCUCCUUUUCCUUGUAUUUGAACCAAUUGCUAAAGUGACUACUAAUUUAAACAGGGAUUCGAAGAAACUACAGCUAGCAAUGCAACAGAGCAAAUUGAAAAAGGGGUGCCAAAGCUUGGCAUGCAGUUUUUAUCUGAAGAAGAAGCUUAUUCCUUCUAUAACAAGUAUGCUUAUUCCAUGGGUUUUAGCAUCCGAAGAGGCAAUCAACAUAAAGUAAAAAAUUCUAGUACAAUACAACAACGGACAUUCACAUGUUCUCGUCAAGGUAUGGACUAGUUCUAACUUGUUCUGGUCAUAUGCAUUUUUAGAUGGGACUAAGAAAAUUACUUGAACUAAUAGGAGUUCGUGCGGAAGAUAAAAGAGAGGAGAAAUUCAGUUAUAGUAGGCCUGAGACACGAUGUGGUUGUGAUGCACGUAUGAAGAUAAGUCUUAAUAAUGGGAUUUAUUAUGUAUACGAAUUUAAGGAAGCCCACAACCAUAGUCUUGCUACUGGAAAUAUGUCGCAAUACUUAAGAUCACACAGGAAAGUAACUGAAGCUCAACUAGCCAAUGCUGAGGCCGCAAAGUCAGUGGGCAUUUCAAAUAAAGCAACUAUUGAUCUAAUGACGAAAGAGGCAUGUGGACCUGAAAACCUUGGCUUUAUAAGCACAGACAUGAAAAAUCGUUUGUACUCAAAGAGAACACUAAAAGCAAAGGUGGGUGACACUGGUGGAGUGUUAGAAUAUAUGGAGAAGAAGGUUUCAGAAGAUGUCAAGUUUUUUUAUUCAAUUCAAGUUGAUGAGGAUGAUUUGAUAACUAAUAUAUUUUGGACGGACUCCAAAAUGGUCUCAGACUAUGCAUUAUUUGGUGAUGUCAUAUGUUUUGACACCACAUACAGGAAACUAGACGAUAGGCGUCCGUUUGGUUUAAUUGUUGGUGUAAAUAAUCACAAGAAAACAAUUGUGUUUGGUGCUGCACUUCUCUAUGAUGAACCAGCAGAAAGUUUUGCUUGGCUUUUUAGAACAUUUUUAACAGUAAUGUCUGGAAAGCAUCCACAUACAACUCUGACUGACGAAGAUGCGGCAAUGGCUAAGGCGAUCCGUUCAGUCCUGCCUCACUCUCACCAUAGACUUUGUGUGUGGCAUAUGAAUCAAAAUGCUAUCAAACAUCUUGGUGGAGUUUUACAGAUUACAAGAAGUUCAAUGCUGAUUUUCAGCAUUGUAUCUAUGAUAUUGAGGAGGAAGAUGAAUUUAUAA